GGAUGAAUCACCUCCUUUCUAGGGAAUUGUCGGAUCAUGAUCAUCUUCAGUUUUGAAAGACUUAGAGUAGAAUAAGUUUUUCUUUUGGCGUAGAGGAAGGGCCUAUAGCUCAGUUGGUAGAGCACACGCUUGAUAAGGCGUGCGGUCAAUGGUUUCAAGUCCAUUUAGGCCCCACCCAUACCAUAUUCCUCUUAUUCAAAAAGUUCUUUGAAAAGUAGAUAAACAAAGUCUCUAAUGACACACCAAUGAAGGAAAUAAGGGCGUACAGUGGAUGCCUUGGCACUAAGAGCCGAUGAAGGACGCAAUUAACGGCGAUACGCCAUGGGGAGUUGUAAAUAAAUGGAGAUCCAUGGAUUUCCGAAUGGGGCAACCUACUACAAUUACCUUGUAGUUUUUUGAUGGUAAUAUCGAAAAGGAAGACGCAGUGAACUGAAAUAUCUAAGUAACUGCAGGAAAAGAAAGUAAUAACGAUUCUGGUAGUAGUGACGAGCGAAUCCGGACCAGCCUGAUACGAAGUCUAGUUACAAAAUUUGUGUUACCUUGAAGUUUUUGGAAAAAAAUACCCCAGAAGGUGAGAGUCCUGUAAAGGGAAAGUACAAAUCUAGCGUAUCAUCAAGUACAACGAGACACGAGAAAUCUUGUUGGAAGAUGGGAGGACCAUCUCCUAAGGCUAAAUACUCCUUAGUGACCGAUAGUGAACUAGUACCGUGAGGGAAAGGCGAA
Molecule: small RNA, 723 nt
Filed under: Cape St. Paul wilt phytoplasma
Lineage: Bacteria; Bacillati; Mycoplasmatota; Mollicutes; Acholeplasmatales; Acholeplasmataceae
Description: bacterial LSU rRNA
Rfam family: Bacterial large subunit ribosomal RNA (bases 245-723)
Source: RNAcentral